GCUAUAUGAACAUUAAUCGUAUAGAAUUUCUAAAGUAUAGCUUUAUUGUUUAGGAAAAUUAAUCAAACAAUAUUUGGUGAUAUAUUUAAUAAUAUAUUUUUCAGAUUGUUUAAUUCGAAAUUAUAUCAUAGCGUUUUUGUCAGUAUCGAACGGAAUUAUUCCUUUUUUGUCUCUGGUCACCUUUAGAUUUCGUCUGUGGAUCGAUUGUCAUUCCGCUCGGAUGACUUCCCUCUUGUCAUCUGACUAAAGAACCUCUCAUCUUUUUUAUCCACGUGAAUCAAGAUAUUUUGAGUCCUUUUGAGUGAAUCCUUUUAACUGUUCGUUCCCGGAGUCUCUGGAGCAGUCACAGAUGUGAACUAGCGGCGUCCAACGCCUUCCCGGCGUAUUCCUAAUACCAUGGAAGGCUAACAUACGGGGCGUGUUAGCCUUUCCUUUUUCUUUCUUUUCCUUUUAUUUUAUUCCUUUCUUUCCAUUUUUUCCGCUUGCUUUUUACUCCAUGUGGACCUCCACAUCCAAAAGCAAGAAAACUUCAAUGGUGGGCGUGUAGAAUUGCCUCCAAAAGCGACUUUCCAUUAAAUCUGACCCCAUGUGGUCCACCUACUUCGAGUAGCUAAAGUCACGCUGGCUACCACCCGCCUCUGAGCGUCGUGCACAUGCGCUGUGGGGUCCACAACAUCUGAAUGGCGCGUUAAAGUUACCUCGCUGUGCGCCCACGGACGAAGGUCUCAUUCAACACCUUGGUAAAUGUGUACCCUCGCAGGUCGGUGAACCUCCCUUUUUAGAUAUAUCCUAUGCAGUGUCUCAAACUUGUAAGAUAACUUAACUAGAUUUAGUAAUUAACCUCCACCUUCUGUGGAACUAUGACUUUGGUUUACUUAUAAAAAAUUCUGUAUCUGAACGCUUAGAACAAUAUAUAUGAUGUCUAAAGGCAAUAA
Molecule: long non-coding RNA, 935 nt
Organism: Cydia pomonella (codling moth)
Lineage: Eukaryota; Metazoa; Arthropoda; Insecta; Lepidoptera; Tortricidae
Exons: 3
Source: RefSeq, a predicted model, not a curated record